Non-coding RNA from Brachypodium distachyon (stiff brome), 125 nucleotides. Lineage: Eukaryota; Viridiplantae; Streptophyta; Magnoliopsida; Poales; Poaceae. The record is from Rfam.
CAUGUACUCCCUCCGAUCCAUAUUACUUGUCUCAAAUUUGCCCAAACAUGGAUGUAUCUAUGUUUAAAAGGCGCCUAGAUACAUGUAAUAUUUCGACAAGUAAUGUGGGUCGGAGGGAGUACCAA